GCAAAGUCUACCCAGACACAGGCGCGCCGCUCGCUCCCUGUUCCAUCUCACCUGCUUCCUCAACGCUUGCGCAGACUUUGUCCUGAUCUCUCACCGUCGCCGUAUUUACUUUCCUUUCUGCCUCCUGCUCGGUUAUAGGUGAACAGAUAGAUAUUUCGCAGACGGCCGCAGAUAAGAAGAGAUAAGAACUGGAAACCCCUCACAUACGCCAAACAAAGAGAUGGCGUGUGGGUUGUGGCAGAACUUCUCUCAAAAGUGAGGCUGCCCCAGACGGGCCCAGAGGGCGGCUCCAGUGUUAUGUGAGGUGUCCAGUGCGGGGUGGGGCUCACCAGCUCCAGGUGGUCCUGCUGGAACCUGUCGCCGAUCUCCCGGAGUUUGCGGCCGAUUUGCACCUCCACGCUCAGCCCUGCCUGCUCCUCGGGCCUCGGCGCCGCCCGGUGAUCGUCCUGCCCUCUGCCCUCUCCCUCCUCCACUCGGACCCGCCUCCCUCCCCGGUCCUCCAUCGGCUCGAACUGAGCUGGGAAAUGUGAGCGUAAUCCAGCGUUGCCUAAGAGAGACAUUAAAGUUCAUUAGAAACGCAGUUAUGAACUAAUAAAACCAUGAUUCUGUUCUACUG
Long non-coding RNA from Betta splendens (Siamese fighting fish), 616 nucleotides. RefSeq lists it as uncharacterized. The record is from RefSeq and is a predicted model, not a curated record. The transcript has 2 exons. NCBI's taxonomy places the organism in Eukaryota, Metazoa, Chordata, Actinopteri, Anabantiformes, Osphronemidae.